This 516-nucleotide ribosomal RNA is filed under the name uncultured bacterium. RNAcentral describes it as "bacterial SSU rRNA". It matches the Rfam family "Bacterial small subunit ribosomal RNA", at positions 29 to 522 of the family's 1533-position model. The record is from RNAcentral.
AACGAACGCUGGCGGCGUGCUUAACACAUGCAAGUCGAACGCGAAAGGGACUUCGGUCCUGAGUAAAGUGGCGCACGGGUGAGUAACACGUGGAUAAUCUACCCGAUGGGCCGGGAUAACACUUCGAAAGGGGUGCUAAUACCGGAUAAGCCCACAGGCUCCCUGGAGCUUGCGGGAAAAGGUGGGGACCUUCGGGCCUGCCGUCAUCGGAUGAGUCCGCGGCCCAUUAGCUAGUUGGUGGGGUAACGGCCCACCAAGGCGACGAUGGGUAGCUGGUCUGAGAGGAUGAUCAGCCACACUGGAACUGAGACACGGUCCAGACUCCUACGGGAGGCAGCAGUGGGGAAUUUUGCGCAAUGGGGGAAACCCUGACGCAGCAACGCCGCGUGAGUGAUGAAGGCUUUCGGGUCGUAAAGCUCUGUCAGAGGGGAAGAAACUGUUGUGGUCGAACAGGCCGCAAGACUGACGGUACCCUCAAAGGAAGCACCGGCUAACUCCGUGCCAGCAGCCGCGGUA